Molecule: non-coding RNA, 793 nt
Organism: Cajanus cajan (pigeon pea)
Lineage: Eukaryota; Viridiplantae; Streptophyta; Magnoliopsida; Fabales; Fabaceae
Source: RefSeq, a predicted model, not a curated record
GCCGAGUAUCAGACAAAAAAAUCAGAAGAUUUGCAGAGGAGACUUGUUGAUGCACACGCAUCCAUUUAUCAUAUUGAAAUAAUUGAGAAAGUAAGACUUGAAGUUCAUCAAUUACACGAUUUGGACAUCAAGCGUGCAAUGGCAGGGCCAACUAUGGGAGUCAAUCUUGAUAUCCCAGAAUCUAUUGGUCUGUCAGCACCCUUACCUGCUCCAUCAUCGUCAAGGCUAGUUGAUAUAGACACCAGAAGACGUGGGAAACGGAGAAUUUAAUAUUUUAUUCUUGUGCAGACAAAUCCAUUAUAUUAAAUUGGAGGCUAUUGCUCCGAGUUCCUAGUGGGUUGAAGGAUGUAGCAGAUAGUGUUUCAAGCUUACCACUUACCAGCAAGGUUUUGUAUCAUGUGCAUCACUGUUAAAGAUUAUGUACAGUUGAUUAGGAUGUUAUUCAUAAGUUAUACGAUGGAAUAGAUGUUAGAACUCACCAGUUAACAUAAGAAUAGGGUUUAAUUUUUGUAUCGAAAGAGGAAAAAAAAAGUAGAAUAGGUUUUUAAAGCAGUCCCGUAGGAUUUCGUGUUUGAUUAAGCUGUUUAUAGCAUUUUUCAAUUCAUGGAAGUCAGUCUGCUCUCUUGUUUAAAGAUGUCUUGCUGUAAAUUAAUUGCAAAGUUUUAGUGAAAUGGAGUUUCAUGUACACCACACUUUGAUGUAAUCUUUUGUUCUUUGUCAAAAUUAAACCUCGAGAUUGUAUCAUUCAUGGUUGUGCCCCAUCUACUUUACAAAGGAACUUCAUUUUCCCUAA